RNA transcript from Diprion similis, 847 nucleotides. RefSeq lists it as uncharacterized. NCBI's taxonomy places the organism in Eukaryota, Metazoa, Arthropoda, Insecta, Hymenoptera, Diprionidae. The record is from RefSeq and is a predicted model, not a curated record. The transcript is spliced from 7 exons.
UGUUUCAGUCCUCAUAGUUUCUAUAAGAACGCUUCUCAAAACAGGUAUAAACCAGUCGUUUCAAGUCGGUACGAUGAAAAACUUCGCUUAUCUAAUUAUUUUAGCCUCAUUGGCAACCGCGAUCAAUGGCAGAGCAGUUCCUAAGGCUUUGGCUGUGCUUACGAAAGGCCUGCACAGAGAGUGUGCCUCCGAGUCAAAAGUUCCAGAAGCUGUGAUUACUAAGGGGCAAAACGGAGAAUUCUCUGAUCAACCGGAGUUCAAGUGCUACCUGAAAUGUUUGUUGGCCAAAUUAGAUUUGAUAUCAGAAUCCAGUGAAGUGGAUUACGACGGAAUGAUAAGGAUGCUUUCACCAGAUAUUAAAGAAACCGGCACUAAAAUGAUCAACGAUUGUCGCGGUACAACUGGAACGGACAGUUGCGACACUGCUUAUAAUCUGAACAUUUGCUUGUACAACUCAAAUCCAGUGGAAUACUUUCUGGUGUAGAAGGAACAUGUUUUUCGUAGAGAUUGUAGAAGCUAGACCGCAUAGCUGUUGAAUAAUCUGCGAUGAGUUCUCGUAGAUAUUAUCCGAUUACUUUAUGUCAAAUAAAUAUCUGAAAUUUCAACUGAGUGUGUUCAUUUAUUUUGGCGCGUCAGGAGUACGGAUGAUUUUUAAACAAAUACUCCUUAUUCUCGGGAAUGAAUCAUGUAUAUUCGACCAGUAUUAGUACUGCAAAACGCGGAAAAAGUUGCGAGUUUCGGGGUUUCCAGUGUAUGUAAAACUGCAGCUUUCACUGAGUCUCGUUAUAAGAGUUUCACAAAUGUGAAUUAAUUUAAAAUAAGGUUUAAAUAAAUUUAUUUAAAAAUG